Obelidium mucronatum is the source of this 83-nucleotide non-coding RNA. The record is from the annotation of a GenBank genome assembly. Lineage: Eukaryota; Fungi; Chytridiomycota; Chytridiomycetes; Chytridiales; Chytriomycetaceae.
CCGAUGAUAGCUCAGUUGGCAGAGCAUCUGACUGUAACAUUUCAGUAAUCAGGAGGCCCCCGGAUCGACCCCGGGUCGUCGGA